CUGCCGGGCAAUAAAAAUGGACACACAGCAGAAACAACAUGGCGCUGGCAGAAGGCAACGGUCCGGGACACCGGCACAGAAGCACUCGCCAAUGUACGGGCAACCUGAUGCCGGCGCCUUCCCCCCUCCCACGCCUCAGGCCUCACCGGACACUGGACUAGGAAUAACAGCAUUUAUUCUUCCUUCUGGUUGUACUCUUUGUGUCUUAACUAUUUAUGAGGUCGAGUUGUUUGUGCAGUUUGAUUAUUUUGCUGGCAGGGCGGUAGGCGGAGCACCGGCGACCUGUGCCUCUUCAUAAUUCAACGGUCGGGCUGACAAUCCGGCCAGACGGAGUGCACACACAUUCAGAGGAACGCGCCGUUCAAGUGAGAUCGCAGUGAGCGCCCACGCAACGAGUUUUGUGCAGCGUGUAGGGGAUCACUCGAUGGGCUGUACACACGCAGUGAGUAGUGAAUAUUAAUGUACUAGCAGUGUAAAUAGAUAUGUAUACUCUUGAUUUGCAGCCACAGCUGAUUUGUUAUGGUUUUAAAAAGAACUUAAUGAAAAUCAAAGUAAAGGCCGAUCGGCCCUGUGCCCUGCGGGUCCUAUAUACCCUACAGACUCGCUACAGACUGUGCUUGGGAUCCGCUCGCUACUUUGGCCUAGAAUGGCUGGAGCAUUUCUUGUGGAUUCACAGUCAACGUUCAACGUACUGCAACAUGCAGCAGCCACCAUGAGUUGUAUUGCAUAGCUAAUCACAUCACUUACAGUUCCACACAUUAUAUUAGUGAAUGCUUUGUGUGAAUGUGUCUGACGUCUGCCUAAGUCUGAUGAACGUGAUUAUAUAGUGGAAAGAAUUAUUUGGCCCAGCCAUCUUAUGUGCAUAUUUACGUACACACUUAUAUAGGGAAUUCUUUACACUUUUGAAGGCUCUACGGAGAGAUGCAACUCAUAUACACACAUAUCUGCGACCUUUCCAGUCGCCUUCUCGUGCAGCUGCUAUCCACUACCUGCUCUGGGUAGGGGCCUUCCAAAGCUACAGGCAAACAAUUGCUGCAUUCCAGAAGUCACCGCUAAAACGCCGCAACGCUACAGGACCUGAGCGCUCCCAGUCGUUGCUUCGCUUCUACAAGCAGCACCAACGGCGACGCUACAUCUUGGAACACUUUCAGCGUUCCCUUCCAUUCGGUAUAGUACACUCCUUCACGUCUCUCAAUAUAUAUGGUUCCACGUGAAAAUCCCUACACAGUUUAAUCAGCUGCUAGGCACUGCAUAUUAAUAUUUAUGAGUAAUAUUGACGAAACAAUUCAGAAGUGACUGAUUUCUCAUCCGUGGGGCUGCCUUGACAGCGAUCUUAGUGAGAAUUGUUGACUUCUAGCGACUCAGCGACUUCUACUCUGAGCGCUUCUCGUCGGUGCGUUAAGCACCUGGUGGUCUCGCUACAUAUAUUGGUCUUCUCGACGGUCCAAUUAAAACACGGCAGGAGAACAACUACGAACUACGGUUGAACAUGGAAACGGCUAUUAGUUCGUUCAGCUUCGUAAGGGACUUCUCAGGGUUGCGCUCGCAAAUACAUUGGAACCAAACACGCUCAUCGUUUCACCAUCCAUAUUUAAAGCUCUACGGAUGGAACAACUCAGAGGGGAUAAAUGCACGUAUCAGCUACCAGGUUAUAUUUAACAUUUAAGUACUACCUCGUCAAUAUCUUUUCCUUGCAUCUAGUCUUCCAGCUAUAUAUGCUGUUAGUCUGUAACCGCUCCAUAAAGGGUCUGGCAUACCCAACAGACUUCGGAUCCUCUCGUUACGUAGACUACUGACUCGCUAUGCCGGUUAGCUGCACAGGCCAGGGGGGUGUCCUUUAAGCAUCAAGAGAAACGUGAGGCUACAGGAAUCUUCGCAUAGAUCGCAUACAGUCCAUCUGUAUCGAUGUCGCUUUCCUAGCUAUAGGCGAUCUCUGCAAUCUCUGAAUUGCUCAAUCUAAACGAAAUUUCCGAACACGAAAUAAAGGAAUAACCGAUUCCGGCUCCUCCCAGAGGACAUAGCAAUUAGCAUCGGCCUCCAGGAACUGCUUCUGCUCAGCGAGAUCCGAUUGUAGGUUCUUCUUCUAUCUCCUCUGCCUCUCCUUGCUCCACUGAAUACUGAUCAUCCUGUGCAGACGGACCUGGAAUUCGAGGGAACACUCUUAAAAGAAGAUCGAAACUCCUUCCUAAGUUGUGGCUUGGAAGGGACUGGAACAGGGUAUAAAUGACGUCAAAUGGAACAUUGUCAUUUGGUGCAUAGUGAGGACUUAAGUGCAAUUGCAGACACACACACAUCCGGAUGUAUCGAAGGAAUGGCAGUUCAUUGUGGCUGCUAGAAGAUGUUGGAUAUCAACGACGAAAGACAAGUAUCUAAGGGGUCAACGCGAGGAAGGGAAUACGCCUCAGGGCGGUUGAUGGGACUCUUACGGAACAUACUAUAUAACUCUUAAACGAAAAGCAGUCGUAAUUAAACUUAUACUUAAACGA
RNAcentral lists this small RNA (2486 nucleotides) under Drosophila pseudoobscura pseudoobscura. RNAcentral describes it as "GA30710". The record is from RNAcentral. Lineage: Eukaryota; Metazoa; Arthropoda; Insecta; Diptera; Drosophilidae.